GAUGAACGCUGGCGGCGUGCUUAACACAUGCAAGUCGAACGAAGCACUUUAUUUGAUUUCCUUCGGGACUGAUUAUUUUGUGACUGAGUGGCGGACGGGUGAGUAACGCGUGGGUAACCUGCCUUGUACAGGGGGAUAACAGUUGGAAACGGCUGCUAAUACCGCAUAAGCGCACAGCAUCGCAUGAUGCAGUGUGAAAAACUCCGGUGGUAUAAGAUGGACCCGCGUUGGAUUAGCUAGUUGGUGAGGUAACGGCCCACCAAGGCGACGAUCCAUAGACGACCUGAGAGGGUGACCGGCCACAUUGGGACUGAGACACGGCCCAAACUCCUACGGGAGGCAGCAGUGGGGAAUAUUGCACAAUGGGCGAAAGCCUGAUGCAGCGACGCCGCGUGAGCGAAGAAGUAUUUCGGUAUGUAAAGCUCUAUCAGCAGGGAAGAUAAUGACGGUACCUGACUAAGAAGCACCGGCUAAAUACGUG
RNAcentral lists this ribosomal RNA (481 nucleotides) under uncultured bacterium. RNAcentral describes it as "partial 16S ribosomal RNA". It matches the Rfam family "Bacterial small subunit ribosomal RNA", at positions 28 to 507 of the family's 1533-position model. The record is from RNAcentral.